AGAGUUUGAUCCUGGCUCAGGAUGAACGCUGGCGGCGUGCCUAAUACAUGCAAGUCGAACGGAGACAUUAGCAAUAGUGUCUUAGUGGCGAACGGGUGAGUAACGCGUUGGUGACCUGCCCCGAAGAGGGGGAUAACAGUCCGAAAGGAUUGCUAAUACCCCAUGUGGUCGUUUGGAUUAGAUGCCUUACGACUAAACGGAUUUAUUCGCUUCGGGAGGGGCCUGCGUCCCAUCAGCUAGUUGGUAAGGUAACGGCUUACCAAGGCGAUGACGGGUAGGGGACCUGAGAGGGUGGCCCCCCACAAUGGAACUGAAACACGGUCCAUACACCUACGGGUGGCAGCAGUAGGGAAUAUUGGUAAUCUGGGAAACCGGGAACCAGCAACGCCGCGUGCGCGAUGAAGGCCUUCGGGUUGUAAAGCGCUUUUUGAGGGGAUGAGGAAGGACAGUACCCUCAGAAUAAGCCUCGGCUAACUACGUGCCAGCAGCCGCGGUAAAACGUAGGAGGCGAGCGUUAUCCGGAUUUACUGGGCGUAAAGCGUGUGUAGGCGGUAUGAUAAGUUGGAUGUGAAAGCUCCUGGCUCAACUGGGAGAGGUCGUUCAAAACUGUCAGACUAGAGAGUGGUAGAGGGAGGUGGAAUUCCGCGUGUAGUGGUGAAAUGCGUAGAUAUGCGGAGGAACACCAGUGGCGAAAGCGGCCUCCUGGACCAUUUCUGACGCUCAGACACGAAAGCUAAGGUAGCAAACGGGAUUAGAGACCCCGGUAGUCUUAGCUGUAAACGAUGUGAACUUAGUGUCGGUGGGGUUAAAUCCAUCGGUACUGAAGCUAACGCGAUAAGUUCACCGCCUGAGGACUACGGCCGCAAGGUUAAAACUCAAAGGAAUUGACGG
RNAcentral lists this ribosomal RNA (891 nucleotides) under Chloroflexi bacterium enrichment culture clone B312136. RNAcentral describes it as "bacterial SSU rRNA". It matches the Rfam family "Bacterial small subunit ribosomal RNA", at positions 8 to 916 of the family's 1533-position model. The record is from RNAcentral. Lineage: Bacteria; Bacillati; Chloroflexota.